This 688-nucleotide long non-coding RNA is filed under the name Phoenix dactylifera (date palm). Its description in RNAcentral is "long non-coding RNA (PDAC_LNC005866)". Lineage: Eukaryota; Viridiplantae; Streptophyta; Magnoliopsida; Arecales; Arecaceae. The record is from RNAcentral.
UUCAAAGCUCCUUCGAUAAAAAUCUUCGACCAUAACAUGUCAUCAAAUACUUAGCAUUUUGUGAUGAAAUUAGAAUUGUUGCUAAUACCUCCAUAAAUUGCGACAAGAUAUUUUGUCAAAAAACGUGAAAAAAAAUAGCACAUCUACUUUUGUCACAAAGUUAUUUUAUGCUAUGAAAGUGAUUUUUGUUUUCAUGGCGAAAAUACUUUUGUCAUUGAAUGUUAUGGCAACGAAGGUUCUAUGGACGACAAGACUGUUCCGUAGUUAAGCUUGUCUUUUUAUUUAAUUUCAAGUAUAUCUAAGUCUGACAGUAGAUUCUUUGUUGUACAAUGUCAAUGUUUUCUAUUGUUAUUGCUAGAGAUGCUUAGUUUUGGAAAUUAACAUGUUUUCCGAAGCUGAAGAUAUGAGUUUUUAACUAAAAGAAUGAACGCACACGGACAAAGGCGGCAUCCAAGUAGGCGAUGCCGAUCUCCAGCGGGGCACCCCCGAUCGGAGCCCCCGCGGAGCCGACCAAAUCCACCGGGGAAGCGUGGCGCCGCCGUGUAGAAAGUUGCCCGCGUUCUGUAUGAAGAUAUGACGCAAAGAACGAGGGGGAUUAUAUAGGAGAAGAAUGGGAGAUGGAGAGGGGAGUUUCCGGGGAAGGAGGCGGCGAUGGGGCUUACGAUGGAGGGACGGUCACGGAGCAGAG